GGGAGUUUGGCCGAGUGGUUAAGGCGUUGUGUUUAGGUCUUCUCCUUUGGGAAACCUUAUAAACCCGCAAUGGGAAACCGCGCAGGUUCGAAUCCUGCAGCUCUCA
Non-coding RNA from Hypoxylon fragiforme, 106 nucleotides. The record is from the annotation of a RefSeq genome assembly. Lineage: Eukaryota; Fungi; Ascomycota; Sordariomycetes; Xylariales; Hypoxylaceae.